RNAcentral lists this ribosomal RNA (376 nucleotides) under uncultured bacterium. Its description in RNAcentral is "bacterial SSU rRNA". It matches the Rfam family "Bacterial small subunit ribosomal RNA", at positions 523 to 898 of the family's 1533-position model. The record is from RNAcentral.
AUACGUAGGGAGCGAGCGUUGUCCGGAUUUACUGGGUGUAAAGGGUGCGUAGGCGGCUUAGCAAGUCGGGUGUGAAACCUAUGGGCUUAACUCAUAGAUUGCACUCGAAACUGCGGGGCUUGAGUGGAGCAGAGGCAGGCGGAAUUCCCGGUGUAGCGGUGAAAUGCGUAGAGAUCGGGAGGAACACCAGUGGCGAAGGCGGCCUGCUGGGCUUUAACUGACGCUGAGGCACGAAAGCAUGGGUAGCAAACAGGAUUAGAUACCCUGGUAGUCCAUGCCGUAAACGAUGAUUACUAGGUGUGGGGGGUCUGACCCCUUCCGUGCCGGAGUCAACACAAUAAGUAAUCCACCUGGGGAGUACGACCGCAAGGUUGAA